AUUCCUCUAGCGCCACUGGGUUAGGGCCUCCCAGACUGAGCUGGUCUCGGCAUUAUGCAGAUACAAUGGAAGUCCAUGCUAUUAACACAGAACCAAUGGUUACCACACGAAUUCAUUUCAGAACUUCUUCAGCUUCCCAAACCAAAGCUGUCCCUGAUACAUUCAUGUUGGUGUGCACCUGUCACCACCAUCAUUAUCUCCAGAACUUCUUCAACUUCCCAAACUGAAGCUGUCCCUGAUACAGUCACGUUGGUGUGCACCUGUCACCACCAUCAUCAUCUCCAGAACUUCUUCAGCUUCCCAAACCGAAGCUGUCCCUGAUACAUUCACAUUGGUGUGCACCUGUCACCACCAUCAUCAUCUCCAGAACUUCUUCAGCUUCCCAAACCGAAGCUGUCCCUGAUACAUUCACGUUGGUAUGCACCUGUCACCACCAUCGUCAUCUCCAGAACUUCUUCAAGUUCCCAAACUGAAGCUGUCCCUGAUACAUUCACGUUGGUGUGCACUUGUCACCACCAUCAUCAUCUCCAGAACUUCUUCAGCUUCCCAAACUGAAGCUGUCCCUGUCCCCAUGGAAGACUGACUCCCAUCCUCUCUGCCAGCCCCUGGUGCCCACCAUCCACUUCCUGUCACUGGGGAUUUCACUGCUCUGGGUUCCUCAUAUACGGGGAAGCUUAUAGGAUUUAUCCUUUGCUGAAUGGCUUCUUUGAUUCAGCAUAAUGUCCUCAAGGUUCAUCCAUUUUGUAGCCUGUGUGAGAAUUAAUUUCUUUCCUUUUAUUUUUUUUCUUUUUUAGAGACAGGAGAGAUCAUAGCUCACUGCAGCCUCAACUUCCUGGGCUCAAGCUAUCCUCCUGCUUCAGUCUCCUGGGUAGCGGGGACUACAGCAAAUUUUUUAAAUUGUUUUUUGUAGAGACGGGGGUCUCAUUAUGUUGCCCAGGCUGGUCUCAAACUCCUGGCCUCAAGCCAUUCUCCUGCCUCAGCUUCCCAAAGAGCUGGGAUGACAGGCGUGAGCUGCAGGAUUUCCUUCCUUUUUAAGGAUGAAUAACAUUCCCUGCUAUGGGUAGAUCACACUUUGUUUCAUUCAUCAACGUCCGUUUUGCAGAGGCCCCUGCAGUCAUUGGCAGCAGUGUACCUUGGCUUCUGGAGUCAGUUUGAGAAUCACCCUGAGGUGCUACAAGCAGCUGGGAUCACUGGGGUGGUUUCUAGCCAUGUCAGUGGUACAGUUAUCAGGGGGCAAUGGAUGCUACCCUUCUAUCCCUGCACUUCCAGAUCUCCUGAAAUAACCUUCAGUCCCCAAAGUUCUCAACAUUUCUGUAAGCCUAGAGUUCCCUGCAAUGAAUCUCCUUCUACCCAAAAUACCUAGAGUGACUUUAGUGUUCCCGACCAACCAUUCCUGGUACCAGCAGUGUUUCCAGGAAGGCAGAACCUUGAAGAUGGGAAUCUGGAGUUAGUAAUUGGACAGACCAGGUUUUGUCUGAUGUCAGUGAGGACCACGUGAGGAGUGGGAAGCAGGAUGCAGAUAAUCUAUAAACAUUGUCACUGGUAAAAUCAUUACCUUGAGGUCUCUGCGAUGCAGUGCCCAUCACAAGCCUGGGUUUCAGACACCAGGGGGCUCUUGCAAUAGGACAUUAGGAUGUGGAUGGAAACCAUGCAUACAAGGAUGUGGCAUGGGGUGGCUGCUGCUUAUUGCACUGGGGAACUGACAAAGAAAAUGACAAGCUGUGGCCUUAAGUGCUCAGCUGAAGGUAUAGACAGAGAACCAGAGCCCUUCUAUAGCUGUCCUAAAAAAACCAUUUUAGUUCUUGUAGCUGUAGAGUCAACUUUUUUUUUUAAAUGCAGAGUACAAAUUUGAUCUUGCAGGCUAAUGAAUUACAACUAAAGAAUAAUUAAAUGUCUUACUAAAUCUCUUAAGUCAAAGUUAAGGCAUUUAUUUGGAAAGAAUGAGACCUCGAGAACUGGAGAGGGUGGAUUUCUCUGACUCUGAGUCCCCUGAACAUUAGACCUUCCUGAGUCUCCCUGUAAGCAGAAGUGACUCUUCCUUAGAGUCUGAGGUGAGUAAAACUGUGCCCAAAGAUCUGUGAUGGCUUCACUUGAGGAAACAGCCUUGCAAGAUGACAGAUCUCCCUUGAGAUCCACCUCCACCGACCCUCAUUAUUCCCAGAGCCAUGACUAGAGUUGGGUGCAGAGGGAUAAACACACAGUGAGACCCAAGAGGAGCCACAUACACACUGAAUGCAAGUUUUUGCCAAUUUACAUCAGCAGAAACCCAGGGGCGUCUGAGGCCGUGGACUCUUGGAGUGUUGGACCACAAAGGAGGUAACAGAAUGUUAGAUCAGGGUAGUUUUACCAAUGAGACUCACACAGCAGAGACUCACUUAGCAGAGAAGUGUGCAGAAGCAGUGGCUGGAAGUGGUUCUCAUAGUUUGUUCCGUUGUUUGACAGAAGCUUGCACACCACGUGAAAUGAAGUGAGCUGUCAGAACUUCCUCCAUACAACGGAGAGGAAAGGAGGCAAAAGCACAGACGUGGCAACGUUAGAGGAUUUAUCGCAUGGCCCUGUUCAUCCAUCCCAGCAAUGCAUCCUGGGAGAGAAAGGCGUGGCAAUAUGCUGAUGGAGGGCACCGCAUCUUGGAAGGCUCUGUGGACCAAGAUAGUGGUGCAAGUUGCUCUCAUUGAACAGGCUGCCUGAGUGUUGGCAACCAGGUAGCAGCUCCAGCACAAUGGGGUGUCCUGGUCUCAAUGGGUGACAGGGCCAGGGCAGCAACUGUGUCCUUCACCCUGUAGGACUUUGGGGAAUGUCUAACUGAUUGAAGUGUCCCCAGGACUAAAACACGUAAGUAGCCUGCCAAAGUGUUCUCUGGUCUCUGUCUUAGUCUGUUUGGGCUACCAUAACAAAAAUAUCAUUAAAGAUCUGGGUGGCUUAUAAAUGACAGAAACAUGUCUCACAGUUCUGGAGGCUGGAAGUGCAAGACCAAGGUGCCAGCUGUGUUUGGUGGAGGCCAGUUUCCUCUCAGACAGCAACUUCCGGCUGCACCCGUACAUGGGGCAAACAAGGCUCCCAUGGGCCCCUUUCAUAAGGGCACCAAUCCAUUUAUGAGGGCUCUGCCCCCAUGACCUUGCCACCUCUUGAAGGUCCCACCUCCCAACACCAUCACCUUGGUGAUUAGGUUUCAAUACCUACCUUUCGAGGAGGACACAAGCAUUCAGACCAUGGCAAUCACUGUAAGUGACAAAACCCUGUAGGUCUGGUGAACAGAGAAAUGGCGUCAGCCAGCAUGGUGGAGAAUCCUGGCUUUUCCCCAUAUCCCAGAACUGAGCAGCUCAGAACCCCUGAAUGCCGGGGGACCAGACCUCCUUACAGAAGGGCUCUGAGAUACCACUGGCCCCACGAUUGUGGGCCAGUCAGAGCGGGUGGGAUGCUCGGCUCAGAGGUGCUGCCUAGCCAUUCUCCAGGGCGAACUGUUUCCUUCCUUCCAUCUGCAGCCACGCUGCCAAAGGGCUGCAGACUUCUUCAGAGAAAUCUAGGAGAAAGAUUUACAGUGCAUACUGGCAACGGUAUCCUGGAUUCCUCUUUUUUUGUUUGUUUGUUUGAGACAGAGUCUUGCUCUGUCGCCCAGGCUGGAGUGCAGUGGUGUGAUCUUGGCUCAUCGCAGCCUCUGUCCCCCAGGUUCAAACAAUUCUCCUGUCUCAGCCUCCCGAGUAGCUGUGACUGCAGGCGUGCGCCACCAUGCCCGGCUAAUUUUGUAUUUUUAGUAGAGACAGGGUUUCACCAUGUUGACCAGGCUGGUCUCA
RNAcentral lists this long non-coding RNA (3791 nucleotides) under Homo sapiens (human). Its description in RNAcentral is "HSALNT0170991". Lineage: Eukaryota; Metazoa; Chordata; Mammalia; Primates; Hominidae. The record is from RNAcentral.